UUCCACGUUUCGAUAUAUAUUAACGUCGAAAGCAAAUACCGUAGAAUGCCGGACUGCGUUGUUUUUUUUAAAAAUUCAUAAACUCCAAUGCCAAAAUGUUCUAUAGAAUCGGCAAACUAAAAUUUAAGAUCGAAUUGAACAUAAAAACGAAGCGUAUUUAUAUACUGAUUGCAGGUCCUUUGCUUGAAUCCUAUCAAUAAAUUGUAUGAUGCUAUCUCGUCAAAAAAGUAAUGGCUUUAUAAUAGUGUGGUUAUCAUUUUGUGAAAACAUUACGCCAUUAACUGCUUAUUUAUUUACGCUCCGAUUUUUGCAGAUUCCUAUCCUAACGAUCUUUAUGAUGCUUGUUAUUAAAUAUAUUUAGUCAUCACCAGCAAUUGCUUACUUGAUAGUGGAGACGUUAAGGCGAGAUAAGGUAGGUGUGUAUUUGUAAGACUAAGCAUAUCGUUUUCCUUAUGUAAUUAAUAUUUCGUAC
Schizosaccharomyces pombe (fission yeast) is the source of this 472-nucleotide non-coding RNA. The record is from the annotation of a GenBank genome assembly. NCBI's taxonomy places the organism in Eukaryota, Fungi, Ascomycota, Schizosaccharomycetes, Schizosaccharomycetales, Schizosaccharomycetaceae.